Nomascus leucogenys (northern white-cheeked gibbon) is the source of this 1370-nucleotide long non-coding RNA. RefSeq lists it as uncharacterized. The transcript has 2 exons. Lineage: Eukaryota; Metazoa; Chordata; Mammalia; Primates; Hylobatidae. The record is from RefSeq and is a predicted model, not a curated record.
GAGCCUAGGAGGCAGAGGUGGCAGUGAGCCGAGAUCACACCACUGCACUGCAGCCUGGGCGACAAAGAUCUUUUGUCAAAAAAAAAAAGUAUAUAACCAAGUCAAAGGAGAAUUUAUAAGGAAAUCAGAAAAUACCUUGAGGUGAAUGAAAAUACAGAAACAACAUAUCAAAUUCUGUGAGAUGUGUAAAAGCAAUGCUUACAGUGAAAUUAAUAGCUAUGAACAUUGUAAUGAAAUGAGAAGUACUUCAAAUUACUAACGUAACUUUCCAACUUUGGAAAAUACAGUAAAAAAAGAACAAAUUAAAAUCAAAGCAGAAAGGACAUAAAGUUUAGUGUGGAAAUAGAGAAUUAAAAAUAAUUGAGAAACAGCACUUCGUUGACUUAUUUAUAAAAUAAAGCUUUACGAAAAUGAGAAAUGUAAAAAGUGAUGUUCCUAAUGACCUUAUUCCAUACAAGGGAUUAAUAUUUUAACAAAUAUCUUUGUGGAAGUAGACAAAUUCCUAGAAAGACACUGACUACCACAACUCAUUCAAGAACAAAGUGAAGACAAUAAAUUGGUAAUUUAAAAACUCUCACCCCUGCCCCUGACACACAUGUAAAUCCCCAGUUCAAAUGGAUUCUUUUGUAUAUUAUACCAAACAUGAAAAUUACCAAUUCGAUAAAAAUGUUUUAAAAACUUGGAAGAGCAUGUAAUAUUUUUUACUGGUUCUAUGAUGCUAUUGUUAUCUAGAUACCAAAGUGAAACAUCAUACGCAGGGAAAACUGUGAUAAUAUCACUUAUGAGUGGAUCUGCGAAAUUUCCUAGUGAAUUUUGGCAAACCAAAUACAGUAACAUAUAAAUAGGAAUGUACACCAGUACCCAGUACAGUGUAUCCCUGGAAUGGAAUGUUAUUUCAUCAGCUGGAAAUGAUUAGUGCAACAGACUGAAGGAAGAAAACAACAUUGUCAUCUCAAUAGAUUAUGGACGGCUGGGAGUGGAGGCUCACGCCUGUAAUCCUAAUACUCCUACCAACAGUGUAUAAGCAUUCCUUUUUCUCUGUAACCUCACCAUAAUGUUUUUUGUUUGUUUUUGACUUUGUAAUAGCCAUGGGCUGGGCACAGUGACUCACGCCUGUAAUCCUAGCACUUUGGGAGGCUCAGGUGGGUGGAUCACUUGAGGUCAGGAGUUCGAGACCAGCCUGGCCAACAUGGUGAAACCCCAUCUCUACUAAAAAUACAAAAAUUACCUGUGCGUGGUGGCAGGCGCCUGUAAUCUCAGCUACUCGGGAGGCUGAGGCAGUAGAAUCACUUGAACCCAGGAGGUGGAGGUUGCAGUGAGCGGAGAUUGUGCCACUGCACUCUGGCCUGGCUGACACAGCAAGACUAUGU